GAUGAACGCUAGCGGCAGGCUUAACACAUGCAAGUCGUGGGGCAGCACGGACUUCGGUCUGGUUGCGACCGGCAAACGGGUGCGGAACACGUACACAAUCUACCUUUAUCUGGGGUAUAGCCUGAAGAAAGUCGGAUUAAUCCCCCAUAAUAUAUUAGAGUGGCAUGACUUCGAUAAUAAAACUCCGGUGGAUAAAGAUGAGUGUGCGUCCCAUUAGGGAUUUGGUAGGGUAACGGCCUACGAAGGCAACGAUGGGUAGCUGGUGUGAGAGCACGAACAGCCACACGGGCACUGAGACACGGGCCCGACUGCUACGGGAGGCAGCAGUGAGGAAUAUUGGUCAAUGGACGCAAGUCUGAACCAGCCAUGCCGCGUGAAGGAUGAAGGCCUUCUGGGUUGUAAACUUCUUUUAUUGGGGAAGAAAAUUACGGUUUCUACUGUAACCGACGGUACCCAAGGAAUAAGCACCGGCUAACUCCGUGCCAGCCGCCGCAGUAA
Molecule: ribosomal RNA, 498 nt
Filed under: uncultured bacterium
Lineage: Bacteria
Description: partial 16S ribosomal RNA
Rfam family: Bacterial small subunit ribosomal RNA
Source: RNAcentral